This is a long non-coding RNA of Zingiber officinale, 1000 nucleotides long. RefSeq lists it as uncharacterized. NCBI's taxonomy places the organism in Eukaryota, Viridiplantae, Streptophyta, Magnoliopsida, Zingiberales, Zingiberaceae. The record is from RefSeq and is a predicted model, not a curated record. The transcript has 3 exons.
UCUAUGCCUGCAACCUAACCUUCUCUCCACCAAAACUCCAUGAAACUCCUUCGCUAAAACUCCUCUACCAACACUCCUUUGCGAAAACUCCUUCGCCGCCCGCACCUCGACCACUACUCCGCGCCAACCGCAACCUAGCGGCCUCCGCCACUCCUCCGUGCUAGUGACCUAGCUUCCUCCACCACUCCUCGUUGCCCACGACCUAGCCUCUACCACUCAUCCGCGCCGCUCACGACCUAGCCUCCUCUGCCACUCCUCCGCGUCGUCUGUGACCCAAUCCCUAACCCUUCAAAGCCAUCAAAGCUUUCAUGCCUCGUCCGAUGUUGUCGUUCCUAUCACUUAGGGUUGUCUGGUUGUGCGGCCAGUAGCCAAUCCUUUCCUUCGUCGGGUUAGCAGCAAGGCUGCAGAGCUACUCAAGCAUCCACAUCUUCAUCCGUACGUUCUUCAAGACAAUCUAAAGUGUAGCCCUUCACAGGCAUGCUUCAAUUACAAUCACAAAAUCAGAUUUAAAGAUGACAAAACUGAUCUACAAACUUAGUGACAUUGGUUCAAUUACCUUUUCUUUACCCCUUUUAAGCUUGUAUUAAAUUUUAUGGACAACACUAAUACACUUGAGUUUGUUGAUAUUAAUUAAUUUUUCCCUGUGUAAUUAUAUAAGGUAAACUCAAGAGGCAUUGAGAUCUUCAAGAAAAGUUGGUUUCCAGAACAUUGUAGAUUAAAGGGUCUUGUUUGUUUUUGUCAUGGCUAUAGAGACACUUGUACAUUUUCUUUUUGAAGGGAUUUCAAAGAAGAUAGCAUCAGCUGGAUAUGGAGUCAUUGCAAUGGAUUGCCCUGGAUUUGGCCUUUCUGAAGGAAUGCAUGGAUAUAUACCAAGUUUUGAUUUACUAAAAGCGUAUAAUUCCAUGAGUUUGCUUAUUGUUUAAUAUUGUUAGCUUAUUGCUUUUGUUAAAUUUAUUUAUUAGGUUUAAUGUAUUGAUUAUUUGAGUUACUUUAUCUUAAU